Molecule: non-coding RNA, 25 nt
Filed under: Mus musculus (house mouse)
Lineage: Eukaryota; Metazoa; Chordata; Mammalia; Rodentia; Muridae
Source: RNAcentral
UAAAUUUGUUGAUGCAGCAAGGAUG